This is a long non-coding RNA of Clupea harengus (Atlantic herring), 841 nucleotides long. RefSeq lists it as uncharacterized. Lineage: Eukaryota; Metazoa; Chordata; Actinopteri; Clupeiformes; Clupeidae. The record is from RefSeq and is a predicted model, not a curated record. The transcript has 3 exons.
UGGAGGUUAACGCGCCUUUUUAUCAGCGCUUGGGGUAAGGGUAGGUGGUUAUGUGACUUAAUGAUAAAAUGUAAAUACAUGUUUUGAGUCAUAAGGAGGGUUGUUGAUAUCUUGUGACGCUUAGUGCAAUUUUGUAGACGACAAACAGGAUACAAAUAAUGUUGGCUAACCUAGCUAGGAUAGUGUAACUCCAGGUAGAAUUGAUGUGACACUUACAAAAGCGCUUGUUUAACGCAACAUUUAAACAAGCAAACAUUCUGUCACUGCAGCUACGCAUUGAGACCUGCUGAGUGCAGACUGCGCGUUGCUUUUGUGCUGGCGCAUUGGCCGUCUUUUAAGUUGUUAGCAUAGUUUUCUGACUACUGUUUUCAGCCAUGGAAGCUUACGUAUAGAGCACAUAAGUGAAUAGUAUUUCUCCUUGUUUAGAAGGUGCGUUGCUGUCGUUGCCCCGUAGCUUUCUCUCUCUCUCCCUCUCCGAGGUUUGUUUGCGGGAAGCCUGACGCUCCCUAAGGUAUACCAGUGUGUUCUUCCAGCGACAGUCAGCCACUGAUUGAUAUGUUUUCUAGCAGUUGCAUUGCUGCAUCCUUGACUAAAGCUGGUAUAUUUGCUUAUAUAUCUAACAUUAAGCCAUUUGAGUUACGUUAAAUGUCGAUGUUGAAGAAUGUGUAAGGAGAUACGAAAUAGGACCAGCAAAUGAUUUCAGCAUGUUCUUCAUCCUCAUAUACAAGUCCUCUGUGUGCUGCGGCUGUUGACAUCACUGCACCUGGCUUCAUGGACCCACUGCAUUAGUUGGAUGCAGUACAGCAUGAACCAAUUGCUGAUGGAUGUGGAAACAUUGCUC